This 493-nucleotide ribosomal RNA is filed under the name Serratia proteamaculans. RNAcentral's name for it is "bacterial SSU rRNA". It matches the Rfam family "Bacterial small subunit ribosomal RNA", at positions 8 to 491 of the family's 1533-position model. Lineage: Bacteria; Pseudomonadati; Pseudomonadota; Gammaproteobacteria; Enterobacterales; Yersiniaceae. The record is from RNAcentral.
AGAGUUUGAUCCUGGCUCAGAUUGAACGCUGGCGGCAGGCCUAACACAUGCAAGUCGAGCGGUAGCACAGGAGAGCUUGCUCUCCGGGUGACGAGCGGCGGACGGGUGAGUAAUGUCUGGGAAACUGCCUGAUGGAGGGGGAUAACUACUGGAAACGGUAGCUAAUACCGCAUAAUGUCUACGGACCAAAGUGGGGGACCUUCGGGCCUCACGCCAUCAGAUGUGCCCAGAUGGGAUUAGCUAGUAGGUGGGGUAAUGGCUCACCUAGGCGACGAUCCCUAGCUGGUCUGAGAGGAUGACCAGCCACACUGGAACUGAGACACGGUCCAGACUCCUACGGGAGGCAGCAGUGGGGAAUAUUGCACAAUGGGCGCAAGCCUGAUGCAGCCAUGCCGCGUGUGUGAAGAAGGCCUUAGGGUUGUAAAGCACUUUCAGCGAGGAGGAAGGGUUCAGUGUUAAUAGCACUGUGCAUGGACGUACUCGCAGAAGAAGC